GACGAACGCUGGCGGCGUGCUUAACACAUGCAAGUCGAACGGAAAGGCCCUGCUUUUGUGGGGUGCUCGAGUGGCGAAAGGGUGAGUAACACGUGAGUAACCUGCCCUUGACUUUGGGAUAACUUCAGGAAACUGGGGCUAAUACCGGAUAGGAGCUCCUGCUGCAUGGUGGGGGUUGGAAAGUUUCGGCGGUUGGGGAUGGACUCGCGGCCUAUCAGCUUGUUGGUGGGGUAGUGGCUUACCAAGGCUUUGACGGGUAGCCGGCCUGAGAGGGUGACCGGCCACAUUGGGACUGAGAUACGGCCCAGACUCCUACGGGAGGCAGCAGUGGGGAAUAUUGCACAAUGGGCGGAAGCCUGAUGCAGCAACGCCGCGUGCGGGAUGACUGCCUUCGGGUUGUAAACCGCUUGCGCCUGUGACGAAGCGUGAGUGACGGUAAUGGGUAAAGAAGCACCGGCUAACUACGUG
Molecule: ribosomal RNA, 468 nt
Filed under: uncultured bacterium
Lineage: Bacteria
Description: partial 16S ribosomal RNA
Rfam family: Bacterial small subunit ribosomal RNA
Source: RNAcentral